Molecule: non-coding RNA, 29 nt
Filed under: Macaca fascicularis (crab-eating macaque)
Lineage: Eukaryota; Metazoa; Chordata; Mammalia; Primates; Cercopithecidae
Also listed under: 1 other name
Source: RNAcentral
UCAGUGGAGGUGGUGAAGGAUAUGCAGUC